RNAcentral lists this ribosomal RNA (914 nucleotides) under uncultured archaeon. RNAcentral describes it as "bacterial SSU rRNA". It matches the Rfam family "Archaeal small subunit ribosomal RNA", at positions 1 to 922 of the family's 1478-position model. The record is from RNAcentral.
UUCCGGUUGAUCCCGCCGGGACUGACUGCUAUCGGAUUGAUACUAAGCCAUGCGAGUCAUUGUAGUAAUACAAGGCAGACGGCUCAGUAACGCGUAGUCAACCUACCCUAUGGACGGGAAUAACCUCGGGAAACUGAGAAUAAUGCCCGAUAGAACACUAUACCUGGAAUGGUUUGUGUUCCAAAUGAUUUAUCGCCAUAGGAUGGGACUGCGGCCUAUCAGUUUGUUGGUGAGGUAAUGGCCCACCAAGACUAUUACAGGUACGGGCUCUGAGAGGAGUGGCCCGGAGAUGGGUACUGAGACACGGACCCAGGCCCUAUGGGGCGCAGCAGGCGAGAAAACUUUGCAAUGUGCGAAAGCACGACAAGGUUAAUCCGAGUGGUUUCUGCUAAAGGAACCUUUUGUCGGUCCUAGAAACACCGAUGAAUAAGGGGUGGGCAAGUUCUGGUGUCAGCCGCCGCGGUAAAACCAGCACCUCAAGUUGUCAGGAUGAUUAUUGGGCCUAAAGCAUCCGUAGCCGGCUCUGUUAGUUUUCGGUUAAAUCUGUACGCUUAACGUACAGGCUGCCGGGAAUACUGCAGAGCUAGGGAGUGGGAGAGGUAGACGGUACUCGGUAGGAAGGGGUAAAAUCCUUUGAUCUAUUGAUGACCACCUGUGGCGAAGGCGGUCUACCAGAACACGUCCGACGGUGAGGGAUGAAAGCUGGGGGAGCAAACCGGAUUAGAUACCCGGGUAGUCCCAGCUGUAAACUAUGCAAACUCGGUGAUGCAUUGGCUUGAUGCCAAUGCAGUGCCGCAGGGAAGCCGUUAAGUUUGCCGCCUGGGAAGUACGUACGCAAGUAUGAAACUUAAAGGAAUUGGCGGGGGAGCACCACAAGGGGUGAAGCCUGCGGUUCAAUUGGAUUCAACGCCGGG